Molecule: signal recognition particle RNA, 99 nt
Filed under: Flavobacteriaceae bacterium
Lineage: Bacteria; Pseudomonadati; Bacteroidota; Flavobacteriia; Flavobacteriales; Flavobacteriaceae
Description: signal recognition particle sRNA small type
Rfam family: Bacteroidales small SRP
About the family: The non-coding component of the signal recognition particle in Bacteroides
Source: RNAcentral
GGGCAAGACCUACACGACCAGCUCCCUCAAAAUCCCCCAGGGUGGGAACACAGCAAGGGUAUGAGGUUGUAGCGGUGCGAUGUGGACCUCUUGCCCUUU